GAUGAACGCUGGCGGCGUGCCUAAUACAUGCAAGUCGAGCGAACGGACGAGAAGCUUGCUUUUCUGGUGUUAGCGGCGGACGGGUGAGUAACACGUGGAUAACCUACCUAUAAGACUGGGAUAACUUCGGGAAACCGGAGCUAAUACCGGAUAAUAUUUUGAACCGCAUGGUUCAAAAGUGAAAGACGGUCUUGCUGUCACUUAUAGAUGGAUCCGCGCUGCAUUAGCUAGUUGGUAAGGUAACGGCUUACCAAGGCAACGAUGCAUAGCCGACCUGAGACGGUGAUCGGCCACACUGGAACUGAGACACGGUCCAGACUCCUACGGGAGGCAGCAGUAGGGAAUCUUCCGCAAUGGGCGAAAGCCUGACGGAGCAACGCCGCGUGAGUGAUGAAGGUCUUCGGAUCGUAAAACUCUGUUAUUAGGGAAGAACAUAUGUGUAAGUAACUGUGCACAUCUUGACGGUACCUAAUCAGAAAGCCACGGCUAACUACGUG
Molecule: ribosomal RNA, 497 nt
Filed under: uncultured bacterium
Lineage: Bacteria
Description: partial 16S ribosomal RNA
Rfam family: Bacterial small subunit ribosomal RNA
Source: RNAcentral